This 240-nucleotide ribosomal RNA is filed under the name uncultured bacterium. RNAcentral describes it as "partial 16S ribosomal RNA". It matches the Rfam family "Bacterial small subunit ribosomal RNA", at positions 95 to 334 of the family's 1533-position model. The record is from RNAcentral.
CCGGCGAACGGGUGCGUAACACGUGAGCAACCUGCCUUUGUGUGGGGGAUAGCCGGCCCAACGGCCGGGUAAUACCGCAUACGUUCUUGUGGGGGAGGUCCCCAUGAGAGGAAACCUCCGGGGCACAAAGAGGGGCUCGCGGCCUAUCAGCUAGUUGGCGGGGUAACGGCUCACCAAGGCGACGACGGGUAGCUGGUCUGAGAGGAUGGCCAGCCACAUUGGGACUGAGAGACGGCCCAG